Non-coding RNA from Podospora conica, 106 nucleotides. The record is from the annotation of a GenBank genome assembly. Lineage: Eukaryota; Fungi; Ascomycota; Sordariomycetes; Sordariales; Podosporaceae.
GCCCGGCUAGCUCAAUCGGUAGAGCGUGAGACUCUUACUUGCACGGCUCUUCUGUUCAAGAAAUGAGUAUAUCUCAAGGUUGUGGGUUCGACCCCCACGUCGGGCU